This 70-nucleotide transfer RNA is filed under the name Ictidomys tridecemlineatus (thirteen-lined ground squirrel). RNAcentral describes it as "Spermophilus tridecemlineatus (thirteen-lined ground squirrel) tRNA". It matches the Rfam family "tRNA". From Rfam's summary of the family: Transfer RNA (tRNA) molecules are approximately 80 nucleotides in length. Their secondary structure includes four short double-helical elements and three loops (D, anti-codon, and T loops). Further hydrogen bonds mediate the characteristic L-shaped molecular structure. tRNAs have two regions of fundamental functional importance: the anti-codon, which is responsible for specific mRNA codon recognition, and the 3' end, to which the tRNAs corresponding amino acid is attached (by aminoacyl-tRNA synthetases). tRNAs cope with the degeneracy of the genetic code in two manners: having more than one tRNA (with a specific anti-codon) for a particular amino acid; and 'wobble' base-pairing, i.e. permitting non-standard base-pairing at the 3rd anti-codon position. Lineage: Eukaryota; Metazoa; Chordata; Mammalia; Rodentia; Sciuridae. The record is from Rfam by way of RNAcentral.
GGAUGUAGCUCAGUGAUAGAGUACUUGCCUAGUAUGUGUGAGGCCCUGGGUUUGAUCCCUAGCACAUCCA